This 199-nucleotide ribosomal RNA is filed under the name uncultured bacterium. Its description in RNAcentral is "partial 16S ribosomal RNA". It matches the Rfam family "Bacterial small subunit ribosomal RNA", at positions 328 to 539 of the family's 1533-position model. The record is from RNAcentral.
ACGCUCGACACCUACGGGAGGCAGCAGUGGGGAAUAUUGCACAAUGGGGGAAACCCUGAUGCAGCGACGCCGCGUGAGCGAAGAAGUAUUUCGGUAUGUAAAGCUCUAUCAGCAGGGAANAAACUGACGGUACCUGACUAAGAAGCACCGGCUAAAUACGUGCCUGCAGCCGGCGGUAAUCUGAGCGGGCUGGCAAGGC